RNAcentral lists this ribosomal RNA (477 nucleotides) under uncultured Methylophilaceae bacterium. RNAcentral describes it as "bacterial SSU rRNA". It matches the Rfam family "Bacterial small subunit ribosomal RNA", at positions 39 to 510 of the family's 1533-position model. The record is from RNAcentral. Lineage: Bacteria; Pseudomonadati; Pseudomonadota; Betaproteobacteria; Nitrosomonadales; Methylophilaceae.
GCGGAAUGCUUUACACAUGCAAGUCGAACGGCAGCACGGGUACUUGUACCUGGUGGCGAGUGGCGAACGGGUGAGUAACAUAUCGGAACGUAUCCAAUAAUGGGGGAUAACUAAUCGAAAGGUUGGCUAAUACCGCAUACGCCCUACGGGGGAAAGCAGGGGAUCUUCGGACCUUGCGUUAAUGGAGCGGCCGAUAUCUGAUUAGCUAGUUGGUGAGGUAAAGGCUCACCAAGGCGACGAUCAGUAGCUGGUCUGAGAGGACGACCAGCCACACUGGAACUGAGACACGGUCCAGACUCCUACGGGAGGCAGCAGUGGGGAAUUUUGGACAAUGGGCGCAAGCCUGAUCCAGCCAUUCCGCGUGAGUGAAGAAGCCUUCGGGUUGUAAAGCUCUUUCGCAAGGGAAGAAAACUUACUUUCUAAUAAAGAGUGAGGUUGACGGUACCUUGAUAAGAAGCACCGGCUAACUACGUGCCA